This 464-nucleotide ribosomal RNA is filed under the name uncultured bacterium. Its description in RNAcentral is "bacterial SSU rRNA". It matches the Rfam family "Bacterial small subunit ribosomal RNA", at positions 917 to 1382 of the family's 1533-position model. The record is from RNAcentral.
GGGCCCGCACAAGCAGUGGAGCAUGUGGUUUAAUUCGAAGCAACGCGAAGAACCUUACCAAGGCUUGACAUCCCAUUGACCGGUAUAGAGAUAUACCUUUUCUUCGGAACAAUGGUGACAGGUGGUGCAUGGUUGUCGUCAGCUCGUGUCGUGAGAUGUUGGGUUAAGUCCCGCAACGAGCGCAACCCUUGAUCUUAGUUGCCAUCAUUAAGUUGGGCACUCUAAGGUGACUGCCGGUGACAAACCGGAGGAAGGUGGGGAUGACGUCAAAUCAUCAUGCCCCUUAUGUCUUGGGCUACACACGUGCUACAAUGGCUGGUACAGAGGGUAGCGAAGCCGCGAGGUGGAGCCAAUCCCAAAAAGCCAGUCUCAGUUCGGAUUGUAGGCUGCAACUCGCCUACAUGAAGCAGGAAUUGCUAGUAAUCGUGGAUCAGCAUGCCACGGUGAAUACGUUCCCGGGCCUU